RNAcentral lists this small RNA (371 nucleotides) under Pan troglodytes (chimpanzee). RNAcentral's name for it is "retained intron". Lineage: Eukaryota; Metazoa; Chordata; Mammalia; Primates; Hominidae. The record is from RNAcentral.
UGAGUCUUCGGAAGCAAACCCCUAGUGACUUCUUAAAGCAAAUCAUCGGACGACCAGUUGUGGUAAAAUUAAAUUCUGGAGUGGAUUAUCGAGGGGUCCUGGCUUGCCUGGAUGGCUACAUGAAUAUAGCCCUGGAGCAGACAGAAGAAUAUGUAAAUGGACAACUGAAGAAUAAGUAUGGGGAUGCAUUUAUCCGAGGAAACAAUGGUAACAUUUCUUCGCCCUACAGUACAGCAUUCAAAAUAAGCCUUUCUAUUUAUAAUCCAGAUCACCAAAGAGGUUUCUAGAUAAUUUAAAAGUCCAGUUUUAGGCUUGAUUAUUUUAAAAUGCUUAUAUGUCAGAUCUUCAGUUUGACCAGUUAUUUUGUAGAU